Molecule: ribosomal RNA, 459 nt
Filed under: uncultured bacterium
Lineage: Bacteria
Description: bacterial SSU rRNA
Rfam family: Bacterial small subunit ribosomal RNA
Source: RNAcentral
GAUGAACGUUGGCGGCGUGCCUAAUACAUGCAAGUCGAACGAAGACUGUAGUAAUACUGUCUUAGUGGCGAACGGGUGAGUAACGCGUGGGUGACCUGCCCCGAAGUGUGGGAUAACAGUCCGAAAGGAUUGCUAAUACUGCAUAAUAUCCAAGAGAUUAGAUGCUUUUGGAUUAAAGGAGUAAUUCGCUUCGGGAGGGGCCCGCGUCCCAUCAGCUAGUUGGUAAGGUAAUGGCUUACCAAGGCGAUGACGGGUAGGGGACCUGAGAGGGUGCCCCGACAAGUGGAACUGAAACACGGUCCAUACACCUACGGGUGGCAGCAGUAGGGAAUAUUAGUAAUGGGCGAAAGCCUGAACUAGCAACGCCGCGUGUGCGAAGAAGGCCUUCGGGUCGUAAAGCACUUUUUGAGAGGAUGAGGAAGGACGGUACUCUCAGAAUAAGUCUCGGCUAACUACGUG